UGUGCUUGAAAUUUAACAAGUAGUUAGGGAAGGAAAUUCAAAAUAGGCAAACCAAACUUAAAGUAACCAAACAAUUAGGCAAUAAACAAGAUAUCACGAGAACUCAAUAAGAAAAGUGAAAUGCGUUAGAAGAGUAUGGCUGAAAUUCACCAUUGGGUGAACCUCGCCUAUGGGUGGAUGAAAGCCCUUUCAAACGUGGUUGGGAUGCAUGCCUUUGAUUGGGUCACCUGGCUAAGUAAUGUUGUGACUAGUUCGUGUAGUGACCCUGCCCAUGAGGUAGUGAGGAUUAAGUGGUACUUGUUCUGCUAGACACAUCAUUUUGCAUAGAGGAU
RNAcentral lists this long non-coding RNA (332 nucleotides) under Carica papaya (papaya). RNAcentral describes it as "long non-coding RNA (CPAP_LNC009423)". Lineage: Eukaryota; Viridiplantae; Streptophyta; Magnoliopsida; Brassicales; Caricaceae. The record is from RNAcentral.